GUCAGCACCCCGCUCUCUUUGUGACGGGGCUUCAUGCCUCCAACUUUAGAUAGCUGACCAGCCUCAGCCUAACGGCUACGUUUUCUGGAUCAUAAUACCCACGAAUGCGACGCUAGUUUGUGGCUNCAGA
This 130-nucleotide small RNA is filed under the name Planktothrix serta PCC 8927. Its description in RNAcentral is "HEARO". It matches the Rfam family "HNH endonuclease-associated RNA and ORF (HEARO) RNA", at positions 1 to 132 of the family's 211-position model. Lineage: Bacteria; Bacillati; Cyanobacteriota; Cyanophyceae; Oscillatoriales; Microcoleaceae. The record is from RNAcentral.